This 69-nucleotide transfer RNA is filed under the name Glaresis sp. GLA01. Its description in RNAcentral is "tRNA-Ser". Lineage: Eukaryota; Metazoa; Arthropoda; Insecta; Coleoptera; Glaresidae. The record is from RNAcentral.
GGAAUAAAAUUAAAUUAAAUAUAAGCUUCUAACUUAAUAUUUUAGCAGUGCAGCUCUGUUAUUAUUCCU